AUGAAGGUGUCGGGCUCUCCYUCACAGCACCUCUCGCACGGCAGCUUCGGAAGCGAAGGGAGCACCCGGCUCUGGGGUUUCCUACGGGAGCGAGAGCGGAGCGCGUUUCGCGCGGGAGCGGAGGGCAGCGCGGCUCGGCACCGCGUCGAGGAGCCGCCGGUGCCCGGCUGGUGGCGGGGCCGCGGGGACCCUGCGCCCGGCGCGGCGCUCCGCGCGUGGGGGCGGCUGCGGAGAGCCGAGGGACGGGAGGGUGAACGGAGGACACGAGCUCUCCCUGUUGUGCCCACUCCUCACCCGGGCUGCGCGGGGCUCUUGCUGCUGGGGGGGGGGACAGACRUGCCCAGAACAGGCAGCAUAAACCCAGGCAGGGGAUCAAAUGCCCUCAUCUCAGUCCAGUGACUUUAACUGGGCAUUUUGAAAUUAGUGAUUUUCUUUGGAAAAUAGCUAACAAAAGGUAGCCAGAGAGAGAACAAGGUCUCACCAAGGGUUUCUGAAUAUCAUCAAUAACCCUUCUUCUAAUUUCCCCUCUCUCCCCAACCUACUGUAUUGUAUUGCCCAGACAUUGACUCCCUCAAAGUAGGAAACCAGUCUGCAAUGGAGUUAAUCAGCGAAUCGUAUGGGAGCACGUUUUAGCCAAGGCACCAAAGCCAGCGUAACCGAUACAGUGCAGGCUAGUCAUUUUUGUUUUUCCCUUUGCUGGCGUUUUAAUGAAAAGGAAGUAGCUGUAACACAAUCCUUUUGGAGAAAUUAACACUUCCCACUAUACCAAGCUAGGCAAGGAACUGAGCUGAGUUUUUGUGAUUAAGAUUAAUUCCAGGUGGGUUAUGUGCAUAGUGCCACAUGUGAACCCAACCAGCCACUUGUACUCAUGAAGAGAACCAGGACUGGACCCAGUUUCCCACCUAGAGUUGUUUAUAGUUUGUCCUACACAUAUUUGACAAUGUCCAUUGUCACUUAAAAAGAGAGAAAUCAGAUGAGCACUUGCACAUGUGAGUGGAAGCUCUGAUUUCUUUGCCUUACUGGCAGAUAAAGCCAAGAGUUGUGCAUCUCAUGGACUCACACUGUCCAGAUUUGCCUGAUUUCUGAGAAAAGAACAUUAGUUUCAUUUUUAUUCCUCUAUCUUUCACACAAAAUCAUGACUUGGAAAAAAAAACAUCAUUUUCAUUAUGCAUUAAAAUACACCUGCAUGCUAUUAUUUGCACCCAUCCCUGUUAUUAAUACCAGAAUUAAUUAGUAGGCUCACCCUCGGGCCCUGGGCAGGGUCAGUGCCACCCAGCGGUGGUCUCGGCCCGGCAGGUGGGAAGGCCCCAGCCUGCAGGAGAGCUCUCAGGGGCGAGGCCAGGGAGUGGAGGGACAACCAGACUGGGCAGCACUGGGCCUUAUGCUCUGGAGAGAAGAA
Molecule: long non-coding RNA, 1399 nt
Filed under: Apteryx haastii (Great spotted kiwi)
Lineage: Eukaryota; Metazoa; Chordata; Aves; Apterygiformes; Apterygidae
Description: lncRNA (ENSAHAG00000007611.1)
Source: RNAcentral